Molecule: ribosomal RNA, 389 nt
Filed under: uncultured bacterium
Lineage: Bacteria
Description: bacterial SSU rRNA
Rfam family: Bacterial small subunit ribosomal RNA
Source: RNAcentral
AUUAAACGCUGGCGGCAUGCCUUACACAUGCAAGUCGAACGGCAGCACGGGGGCAACCCUGGUGGCGAGUGGCGAACGGGUGAGUAAAGCAUCGGAACGUGCCCUGGAGUGGGGGAUAACGUAGCGAAAGUUACGCUAAUACCGCAUAUUCUGUGAGCAGGAAAGCAGGGGAUCGCAAGACCUUGCGCUCUGGGAGCGGCCGAUGUCGGAUUAGCUAGUUGGUGGGGUAAAGCCUACCAAGGCGACGAUCCGUAGCGGGUCUGAGAGGAUGAUCCGCCACACUGGGACUGAGACACGGCCCAGACUCCUACGGGAGGCAGCAGUGGGGAAUUUUGGACAAUGGGCGAAAGCCUGAUCCAGCCAUGCCGCGUGAGUGAAGAAGGCCUCGG